This is a long non-coding RNA of Haemorhous mexicanus (house finch), 1813 nucleotides long. RefSeq lists it as uncharacterized. The transcript is spliced from 5 exons. NCBI's taxonomy places the organism in Eukaryota, Metazoa, Chordata, Aves, Passeriformes, Fringillidae. The record is from RefSeq and is a predicted model, not a curated record.
ACCCCGAAACCUUCUCUUGGUCAUCCGUCCCUGAACCCACCCGGGAGGAAGAUUAAAGGAUCCUUGGUACCUAUACGGGCAUCUCUCCUCCUUCCUUUGCUUCGUUUCUGGAAAAAUCUCUGCCACAGUAGCUGGAAGGCCAAGGAAUAGAAGGGAGAAGGAUCACACUGAGAGGCAGCAAAGGCAAGUCACUGUGAGAGCUUUAGGGACAUCUGUGACUUGUAGGACGUGUCCUCAGCUGUACACAUUGUUCUCAUGCCAUUGAGUAGCUAUGACAGCUUGCUCCACUGGAGCAUCUGCAUCCAGGGAAGGACAAAAAAUGUAGAGGAGUAGGAGAGAAGAUUCAUUAAUACACUAAGGGAUUCAUCUUAUCUCCAUACAGGUGUCCUGCUCCCAGCAUCUUGACAUUCAUGUUCUCCUGCAUCUGUGACAGCAACAGAUAACGCCCACCAUGGAGCUGCAGGAGCUUAGGAAAGGAAAAUAUUUCAAGAGCUGAUUUUGCAUCUUUCCUCUUCCUUAAACAGAAAAUGACUCAUUGAAAUGCUCACCAGCUUCCUCCAUGCAGAUAAAGAUGAAGCUGAAGGCAUGGACCCCAGAAGAGCUUGAUGCCGAAGGGAGGAGAGUAGGGCCGCUCUGUUGUCAGAAAUGAGUCAGAACCACAGUUUUUACCUCGAAAUGCUAAGUAAAGCUCUUCAGAAUGCAGAUCUGUCUUUGAAAGACAAAAUGCAAAAUAGACAAACUCAAAUGCAAGCUGAACAGCCCCUGCCUUUUCGGAGUCAAAUGUUAACCUUACAGCCAGGGCUUAAGCUAAAAAUAUUGCUGGGAAAUUACCGGCAGUGUUGUUCCAGUGCCCCCAAAAGAGAACCUAAACACAUAUUUUUUUUCCUCCUUAAAAGUCUUUCAUGUAAAAACCUGACUAUUAAAGGAAAAUGGGAAUUUUGACAUUUCUAUCAGUAAGACAGGAUUUCAGUCCUUGCUUUUGUGUUAUAAAAUGUAUAGAUCAAAUAUUCUUUCCAUGCUUUAGGCUUCAAGUCCAUCUCUGUCACAAAUAUUUUUUAUUCAUAGCACUUUCUAUUCUGUUCAGAGAAGAUGUGUGCUCUUGAGUGAGUUUUUUUUUUGCUGCUUUUCUUGAGAGAACACAAGCAAUAGAGAUAAAGAUUCAUUUCAGUAUCUUAGAGCUUCCCUAAAUCUGGAGCAUUUCCAAAAUAGUUCAGUGGCUAAUGUUAUCUGGACCACUCCAGAGCUCUUCCAUUUUUUUUCCAGUUCACCAAAAAUAACUCUCCCUGUUUUGAAUGUAAAUUCCAGAAUGCAGAGUAUAAAUCUAAUUUAUUCAGAGAUAAAAAUGAUAUACUGUUAUUUGCUAGCUGUAGAGGAAGACACACUGUAGGGGCAGUAUAGUUCUGGCUAUGGUAUUUAAAAAUGUUUUUGAGCCUGAGAUCAGAAGUGAAAUGCAUGGAAGUUCUGAGCAGGAGAAAAGCAAUAGAUCCAUGAGAUCAUAUGGGAGAGAGAACAUAGAAAUAGAAGAUUAAAAGAGAAACUAAAUCUGUUUUUCAGAAGUGCUACAAGAAAAGCACCAUCUUGAACUAGUGAGCAAGCAGUCUGUUAAUACAGAAUUUAGGGAACAUUGGGUUAUUUCCAUAAAUAAUAUUUUCAAUUAAAACAGAGAUAGUAGAACCAUUUAAACAAGACAUAUUUACCAUUUUUUUUGUUUUCAAAAGGCUAUAGUUGUAGAUGAGUGAGAAAAACCUUGCAACCUACUCAUUCUCUUGCAAAUGACAACAAAUAAAACUAUUCAGAAUUAAGUCCCCUCUAA